GGUAAUGCCAGUAGAACCACGCUGCUUGAAGCACUGGACUGCAUCCUGCCACCAACUCGUCCAACUGACAAGCCCCUGCAUCUGCCUCUCCAGGAUGUCUACAAGAUUGGUGGUAUUGGGACUGUCCCUGUGGGCCAAGUGGAGACUGGUGUCCUCAAACCUGGCAUGGUGGUCACCUUUGCUCCAAUCAGCGUUACAACUGAAGUGAAGUCUGUUGAAAUGCACCAUGAAGCUUUGAGUGAAGCCCCUCCUGGGGACAACAUGGGCUUCAAUGUCAAGAAUGUGUCUGUCAAAGAUGUUCACCGUGGCAAUGUUGCUGGUGACAGCAAAAAUGAUCCACCAAUGGAAGCAGCUGGUUUCACUGCUCAGGUGAUUAUCCUGAACCAUCCAGGCCAAAUCAGUGCUGGCUAUGCCCCUGUACUGGAUUGUCACAUGGCUCACAUUGCAUGAAAGUUUGCUGAGCUGAAGGAAAAGAUUGAUCGCCGUUCUGGUAAGAAGCUGGAAGAUGGCCCUAAAUUCUUGAAGUCUGGUGAUGCUGCCAUUGUUGAUAUGGUUCCUGGCAAGCCCAUGUGUGUGGAGAGUUUCUCUGACUAUCCUCUUCUGGGUCAUUUUGCCGUCCGUGAUAUGAGGCAGACAGUUGCUGUGUGUGUCAUCAAAGCAGUGGACAAGAAGGCUGCCAAAGCUGGCAAG
Molecule: RNA transcript, 690 nt
Organism: Carlito syrichta (Philippine tarsier)
Lineage: Eukaryota; Metazoa; Chordata; Mammalia; Primates; Tarsiidae
Gene name: putative elongation factor 1-alpha-like 3
Exons: 1
Source: RefSeq, a predicted model, not a curated record